GAUGAACGCUGGCGGCGUGCCUAAUACAUGCAAGUCGAGCGAACGGACGAGAAGCUUGCUUCUCUGAUGUUAGCGGCGGACGGGUGAGUAACACGUGGAUAACCUACCUAUAAGACUGGGGUAACUUCGGGAAACCGUAGCUAAUACCGGAUAAUAUUUUGAACCGCAUGGUUCAAAAGUGAAAGACGGCCUUGCUGUCACUUAUAGAUGGAUCCGCGCUGCAUUAGCUAGUUGGUAUGGUAACGGCUUACCAAGGCAACGAUGCGUAACCGACGUGAGAGGGUGAUCGGCGACACUGGAACGGGGACGCGGUCCAGACUCCUACGGGAGGCAGCAGUAGGGAAUCUUCGGCAAUGGGCGAAAGCAUGACGGAGCAGCGCCGCGUGAGUGAUGAAGGUCUUCGGAUCGUAAAGCUCUGUUAUUGGGGAAGAACAGAUGUGUCAGUAGCUGUGCACAUCUUGACGGUACCUAAUCAGGAAGCCACGGCUAACUACGUG
RNAcentral lists this ribosomal RNA (497 nucleotides) under uncultured bacterium. RNAcentral describes it as "partial 16S ribosomal RNA". It matches the Rfam family "Bacterial small subunit ribosomal RNA", at positions 28 to 507 of the family's 1533-position model. The record is from RNAcentral.